CCUACGGGCGGCUGCAGUGGGGAAUAUUGGACAAUGGGCGAAAGCCUGAUCCAGCCAUGUCGCGUGUGUGAAGAAGGCCUUCGGGUUGUAAAGCACUUUCAGUGGGGAAGAAAGCCUUGGGGCUAAUACCCUCGAGGAAGGACAUCACCCACAGAAGAAGCACCGGCUAACUCCGUGCCAGCAGCCGCGGUAAUACGGAGGGUGCGAGCGUUAAUCGGAAUUACUGGGCGUAAAGCGCGCGUAGGCGGUCUGAUAAGCCGGUUGUGAAAGCCCCGGGCUCAACCUGGGAACGGCAUCCGGAACUGUCAGGCUAGAGUGCAGGAGAGGAAGGUAGAAUUCCCGGUGUAGCGGUGAAAUGCGUAGAGAUCGGGAGGAAUACCAGUGGCGAAGGCGGCCUUCUGGACUGACACUGACGCUGAGGUGCGAAAGCGUGGGUAGCGAACAGGAUUAGAUACCCUAGUAGUC
This 465-nucleotide ribosomal RNA is filed under the name Vreelandella stevensii. RNAcentral's name for it is "partial 16S ribosomal RNA". It matches the Rfam family "Bacterial small subunit ribosomal RNA", at positions 338 to 795 of the family's 1533-position model. Lineage: Bacteria; Pseudomonadati; Pseudomonadota; Gammaproteobacteria; Oceanospirillales; Halomonadaceae. The record is from RNAcentral.